UGGGUAACGCGUGAGUAACCUGCCUUACACAAGGGGAUUGCCUCUGGAAACGGAGAAUAAUACCCUAUGAAACUAUCUUAUCGCAUGAAAAGAUAGUCAAAGUGUUUUAGCGGUGUAAGAUGGACUUGCGUCUGAUUAGCUAGUUGGUGAGAUAACAGCCCACCAAGGCAACGAUCAGUAGCCGGCUUGAGAGAGUGUACGGCCACAUUGGGACUGAGACACGGCCCAG
Molecule: ribosomal RNA, 229 nt
Filed under: uncultured Eubacteriales bacterium
Lineage: Bacteria; Bacillati; Bacillota; Clostridia; Eubacteriales
Description: uncultured Clostridiales bacterium partial 16S ribosomal RNA
Rfam family: Bacterial small subunit ribosomal RNA
Source: RNAcentral